Molecule: ribosomal RNA, 775 nt
Filed under: uncultured Neocallimastigales
Lineage: Eukaryota; Fungi; Neocallimastigomycota; Neocallimastigomycetes; Neocallimastigales
Description: partial large subunit ribosomal RNA
Rfam family: Eukaryotic large subunit ribosomal RNA
Source: RNAcentral
UCAGACGAUGCGUCAUGCAUAUCAAUAAGCGGAGGAAAAGAAACUAACAAGGAUUCCCUUAGUAACGGCGAGUGAAGCGGGAAGAGCUCAAAUUUGAAAUCUUCAAGGUUUUACCUUGACGAGUUGUAGUUUAAAGAAGUGUUUUCUGUUGAAGUUUUGGUAAAAGUUCUUUGGAAUAGGACAUCAUAGAGGGUGAGAAUCCCGUAUUUGACCAUUAUUUUCAGCUGUGUGAUACACUUUCAAAGAGUCGGAUUGUUUGGGAAUGCAGUCCAAAAUGAGUGGUAAAUUUCAUCUAAAGCUAAAUAUUGGCGAGAGACCGAUAGCGAACAAGUACCGUGAGGGAAAGAUGAAAAGAACUUUGAAAAGAGAGUUAAACAGUACGUGAAAUUGUCAAAAGGGAAGCGUUUGACACCAGUGUUGUUUUCUCGAAAAUCAAUUAAAAAGAGUUGGAUUUUGUGUUGUAUUGACCUUAACAGCUUGCUUCACUCUUUUCCUGCUUUUUUUAAUGCACUUUUCGUUUAACAAGUCAACAUCAGUUUCUUUUGUUGUAAAAGGGUCAUUGGAAGGUGGCUUUCUCUUCGGAGAAAGUGUUUAUAGCCUUUGAUCUCUGCAAUCGGAGAGACUGAGGUCUGCAGCGUAGAUCCUUCGGGGUUAGAUACAUUUGUGCUAAGCUACAGCUUUUCAUAGACAACUUGUUGACUAUGUUUAGUCUUGUAACUUACCCGCUUAUGCUAUUUUAUCCUACGCUUAGGAUGUUGAUAUGCAUGACUGAUAU